Molecule: ribosomal RNA, 468 nt
Filed under: uncultured bacterium
Lineage: Bacteria
Description: partial 16S ribosomal RNA
Rfam family: Bacterial small subunit ribosomal RNA
Source: RNAcentral
GACGAACGCUGGCGGCGUGCUUAACACAUGCAAGUCGAACGGAAAGGCCCUGCUUUUGUGGGGUGCUCGAGUGGCGAACGGGUGAGUAACACGUGAGUAACCUGCCCUUGACUUUGGGAUAACUUCAGGAAACUGGGGCUAAUACCGGAUAGGAGCUCGUGCUGCAUGGUGGGGGUUGGAAAGUUUCGGCGGUUGGGGAUGGACUCGCGGCUUAUCAGCUUGUUGGUGGGGUAGUGGCUUACCAAGGCUUUGACGGGUAGCCGGCCUGAGAGGGUGACCGGCCACAUUGGGACUGAGAUACGGCUCAGACUCCUACGGGAGGCAGCAGUGGGGAAUAUUGCACAAUGGGCGGAAGCCUGAUGCAGCAACGCCGCGUGCGGGAUGACGGCCUUCGGGUUGUAAACCGCUUUCGCCUGUGACGAAGCGUGAGUGACGGUAAUGGGUAAAGAAGCACCGGCUAACUACGUG